GAAUAUCAUGUGUCAAGGAUUGCUAGUAACUAUUUGCCUACUUUCAGUAACCUUCAUUAUAGAUGCUUGAUGGGAUCAGCUACUUGUCGAAGAUGUCAACAUGGAGGGGAAACACGGAAGCAUAUAUUCAGGGAGUGUCCUUCAGCAAAAGAGACACGGGAAAGCUUAGGGGUUUUUUCGCCUAACACAGAAGCAAGUACAGAUUUCAAUGAGUGGUUUAAAAAAUUGUUCCAAUCCUAUUCAUUGGCUAAGUGUAGGUUGAUAGCAUGCACUAUGUGGGCUUUAUGGACAUCAAGAAACAGAUUCAUUCAUGAAGGAGUUUCUACUUCUGGUUCUCAAAAUGCAGAUUAUGUUAAAAACUCCCUAAAAGAACUUGAUGGAGUGAAAACGGACUUACCAGCGAGGCCGAUUCUUACUGACAGAUGGGUUGCUCCGACUGGACCGAGGGUAAAAAUCAAUUUUGGCGCUACUUUUAACAAACAGAGGAAUGGGUCAUGUUUUGGAAUGGUAGUAAGAAAUGAAAAAGGAGAUGUGAUUUGCUCUAAAAUAGUGUUUCAUUCAAGUUUACCUUCUGUUUUUACUGCAGAAGCGUUGGCGGGUUUCUGGGCGAUUCAUCUCGGUUUAUUCCUUCAGUUAAGAGAGGUUGAAAUUGAAGGGGACUCUCGUUCAGUCAUCUGCAAACUGCAAGAGCAAAAGGAUGAUAGAUUAGAGAUCGUAGGUAUUAUAAAAGACUCUAAAAAACUGAGCUAUGGUAUUGUCUUUUGUAUUUUUCAUUUUACCCAUCGCGAAUCAAACCAAGUUGCUCACUUUAUUACUAUCGAGGGUCUUAAGAAAAGAGAAAACUCUUAUCUGGCGAAUAUGGUCUUUUCUGGCGCGGAGGAUGCGAUGCUUGCUGAUCGGAGGGGACUGGAGUUCAGGUGAAAAUGAAGAGCUGCUUGUGUGGUGAUUUUGGAUUUGGAAAAUGAAGGGUUAAGGGUUGUGCUGUUUUUUUUCCUUUUUUCUUCGGUGAUUUUGAUUGAUGUUGAUGCUUAUUCAGGGCAAGUAAUGAUGAAGCAACGUUUUCCAAUAAAUUUUGUUGUUUUUGAUGUGGGAUUCCAAUUUGGAUAAUAACAGGAUGGAAAUAUCUGGAGUCCCCCCACCUGUUGAGCUAGAUCUUUUGCUGAUGGGCUGCUAUGUAUUGUUCUUUUGUUUUGUUUUUUAUGUUUUGAUUUUGGGCUUGGUUUCCUUGAAC
Molecule: long non-coding RNA, 1231 nt
Filed under: Gossypium barbadense (sea-island cotton)
Lineage: Eukaryota; Viridiplantae; Streptophyta; Magnoliopsida; Malvales; Malvaceae
Description: long non-coding RNA (GBAR_LNC003056)
Source: RNAcentral